AUUGAACGCUGGCGGCAGGCCUAACACAUGCAAGUCGAGCGGUUGAAGGGAGCUUGCUCCUGGAUUCAGCGGCGGACGGGUGAGUAAUGCCUAGGAAUCUGCCUGGUAGUGGGGGAUAACGUCCGGAAACGGGCGCUAAUACCGCAUACGUCCUGAGGGAGAAAGUGGGGGAUCUUCGGACCUCACGCUAUCAGAUGAGCCUAGGUCGGAUUAGCUAGUUGGUGGGGUAAAGGCCUACCAAGGCGACGAUCCGUAACUGGUCUGAGAGGAUGAUCAGUCACACUGGAACUGAGACACGGUCCAGACUCCUACGGGAGGCAGCAGUGGGGAAUAUUGGACAAUGGGCGAAAGCCUGAUCCAGCCAUGCCGCGUGUGUGAAGAAGGUCUUCGGAUUGUAAAGCACUUUAAGUUGGGAGGAAGGGCGGUAAGUUAAUACCUUGCUGUUUUGACGUUACCAACAGAAUAAGCACCGGCUAACUUCGUG
RNAcentral lists this ribosomal RNA (484 nucleotides) under uncultured bacterium. RNAcentral's name for it is "partial 16S ribosomal RNA". It matches the Rfam family "Bacterial small subunit ribosomal RNA", at positions 30 to 507 of the family's 1533-position model. The record is from RNAcentral.